UAGAACGCGUAACCUCCACGUGUCCAAAUUAUAUUCGUCUGUCAUAGCUAUAAAUAACCCUUACUGACCUAAUCCUCCCUCCGUUCACCAGUCACCACAUAGCGUGAGGUUUGAGAGUUUAGUUUACUUUUACGUUUCUUUCUCUUCCUCUGAGAUUGCGGAGAGAGAGAGAAAGAACGGUUCUUGAUAUUCUCACCGCGCGGUCUCUAAUUCGCUUGGUGCAGGUCGGGAACCGCUGCUGCUACUUUCGACCGGAAUGAGUUUCGAUUGUCGGCGGCGAAUUGGAUCCCGCCUUGCAUCAACUGAAUCCGAGGCCGCCGUGGUU
Non-coding RNA from Lupinus albus (white lupine), 325 nucleotides. The record is from the annotation of a GenBank genome assembly. NCBI's taxonomy places the organism in Eukaryota, Viridiplantae, Streptophyta, Magnoliopsida, Fabales, Fabaceae.